CUCAGAUGUAUGGGACAGUCCAGUGUCAGACUAUCAACCUGAAAGGGAUUUUAGCUUUCUUUAGUGGUUAGCGAGGUGGUCAGGGGAGCAAUGGUGGGCUCUCUCUAAGCAUCUAAUACCCAGUACUGGGCCUCUAGUCCAUUACAGACACCUUAUCCUGGUCUCACAUAUCUUGGACACACUGGACAUUACCGACACCGGCCCGGUCUGGCUCUGGUAGCCACAGAAUGUAGCAGUGUAGAUGGCUGCAGCACCGAGGUCAAUGUCCCCUUACCGACGCCCAUACAGCCACAUGCCACACUUCAGCAUGCAGACAUCCAGUCCCAGGACGAGCCAACAGAACAUCUGACCAUGGAGCUUGCCAGGCUGUGGAUCCUACAGGUCUGCAAUCACCAAGAAAUCAUAUCAUUCUCCAUCCAUAUUAAGACGCAGGCAGGCACAGCCCUCUCCAUCACUGGUGCCCCUGACAACACAGGAAAUGGAUCCCACCCGGUGGCAGCCUCAGCCCUCACACUAUUUAGCACCACAAUUAUCCCCCAUUCAUUCACAGGCUGGAUGAACCAUAUAAGGCCAACUGUGAUUCAGCGAUGAUCAGCGCAAUGUGAAACCACGGGUCUGGCCUGGCAAUUUGAUGUAAUUGUGCUGCUGUGAUCUUCUGUAGUAGGUGAGGGACCUCCUUUAUUGUGCCAUUCUACUGGAGGGAGAGAAUUGGAAUGAAGGAGUCUUUGAUUUUAGGUGGACACAGUCAUAAUAUCUGGAAGAGGUACAAUGGUGUAGCAUAUUGUGGGUGAUCAAACAGAGUAGGGGAAAAUUAACAGUGAUGUAAAAAAUACUUUAAAGUACUACUUGCGUCUUUUUUGGGGGUAUCUGUACUUUACUAUUUACCCUACCUU
Oncorhynchus kisutch (coho salmon) is the source of this 893-nucleotide long non-coding RNA. RefSeq lists it as uncharacterized. Lineage: Eukaryota; Metazoa; Chordata; Actinopteri; Salmoniformes; Salmonidae. The record is from RefSeq and is a predicted model, not a curated record. The transcript has 4 exons.